Transfer RNA from Candidatus Nanosalina sp. J07AB43, 74 nucleotides. It matches the Rfam family "tRNA". Rfam says of the family: Transfer RNA (tRNA) molecules are approximately 80 nucleotides in length. The record is from Rfam. Lineage: Archaea; Methanobacteriati; Methanobacteriota; Candidatus Nanohaloarchaea.
GGGCUCUUAGUUCAGCCUGGCAGAACGUCUCCCUGGCACGGAGAAGGCCCUGGGUUCAAAUCCCAGAGAGUCCA